UUAACUUCCCCACAAUUGAUUUCCCAUUAUUCUCUUUAUUAUCUUCUAUGGCAGAUGAUCUUCAUCUUCGCUAAGAUAAAGGGAACCGCUCAUGUGUGAGGACAUCUGUGCCGUCGAGGGGAAAGGUGCUUCCGGACGACACCAUGGUGCAUGCUCGUGGGAUGGUGUCGUACCAUCCCAGUCCACGGGGAAGACGGAGUACAACGCCGACGUCGCUAGCUUCUGGUCAGACCGAUGGAUCGGCGGCGACGGCGCUCGGCAAAACAUCACCAUUCAAGGAAGGGAUGCGAUCUACGUGAGCAAAUACAUGGUGUACCUGCAGAUGAAGAUGACGCUAGCCAUCCUAUGCAGGUUCUAGCUUGUGAAGGGCCACCCCGUCAAAUACUGCAUGUUGACCAUCUUCUCCAUGGCGCACAAUUUCAAGCUCGAGUUGCAGAUUGGCUAUUGACUAUUUAAAUUUUCUCUAGCAUAUUGUAUCAAUAGUGUUACUUAAGGUAACUCCAAUUCCUCAGUUUUGUUAGCAGGAUUGCACUGAUUUUUCUGAAGACAUGUGAAGAAAUUAUCUUGCACCAAUUCACCAUAUCGUGGCUUCAAUAAUCUUCUUCGUGUUCAACACAUCUUCUAUUUGUGAUUACUGAUGUAUUCUGGGUGUAUCUCUAAUAAUCAAAAUAGUUUUUGCAGGUUACUUUUGUUGUUAAAUUCUUCUUAAUGAUGGACAACUCUAACCUGCUAGCCACGUUAUGGUGAUACAAAUCUCCUUUGAUGGUUCUCAUAUGUGCACUGGUGUUUCCACGAAGCAAACAACUUUAGAUUUGGGCACUAUAUUGAACCAUAUGAGAGUUUGAACACAAAGUUGUUGUUGCCGAGUGUGCAAGGUCAACUCGAGCUAUGGAGGCCGAUGCCUUGUCGUCGUCUCAAUGCUCAUGAGAUGAUCAAGGAUGAAUAAAACCUGGACAAUCUUUUGAAGAAAGGCGUCAAGUGUCUCCAAUAGGAGUUGAUGGUGAUGCGGGCUACCCUCUCCAUGGUGCUUGAGGUGCCUCAGAAUCAGCUUGAUGCACAAAUCAAGGCCUAGGAAGGAUAAGUGAGAGAAUUCCCAUACGACAUGGAGCACUACGUUAAUGAUUUUAUGUUACGCAAGCUAGAGAAUGAAGACUGACCACAAGAAACCAUGAACAGAGUCAGGAAGUUCAUCGAUGUGAUCAAAGGUUAUUUCCUCACAGGAAAUCAUCUCUGUCAAACCUCUGAGGCCAUCCAAGAAGACCAAGACCUCGCCAAGGACUUGAGAGACCUACAUCAAUGGUACGAACUUGACAUGCGUAGUUGUGCAACUACCAUCGACCCUCGCAUGGUUGCUAUGUAUAAAGAUGUGGGGGAGCUUGUUGCAAGACUGAGUUAUACUCCCUCCGUUCGGAAUUACUCGU
Molecule: long non-coding RNA, 1421 nt
Organism: Triticum dicoccoides
Lineage: Eukaryota; Viridiplantae; Streptophyta; Magnoliopsida; Poales; Poaceae
Exons: 3
Source: RefSeq, a predicted model, not a curated record